Molecule: ribosomal RNA, 440 nt
Filed under: uncultured bacterium
Lineage: Bacteria
Description: partial 16S ribosomal RNA
Rfam family: Bacterial small subunit ribosomal RNA
Source: RNAcentral
CCUACGGGAGGCAGCAGUAGGGAAUAUUGCUCAAUGGGGGAAACCCUGAAGCAGCAACGCCGCGUGGAGGAUGAAGGCUUUCGGAUUGUAAACUCCUUUUGUUAGAGAAGAUAAUGACGGUAUCUAACGAAUAAGCACCGGCCAAUUCCGUGCUAGCAGCCGCGGUAAUACGGAGGGUGCAAGCGUUCUUCGGAAUCACUGGGCGUAAAGUGCGCGUAGGCGGGAUAGCAAGUCAGAUGUGAAAUCCUAUGGCUUAACCAUAGAACUGCAUUUGAAACUGUUAUUCUAGAGUAUGGGAGAGGUAGGUGGAAUUCUUGGUGUAGCGGUGAAAUGCGUAGAGAUCAAGAGGAAUACUGAUUGCGAAGGCGACCUGCUGGAACAUAACUGACGCUGAUGCGCGAAAGCGUGGGGAGCAAACAGGAUUAGAUACCCUUGUAGUC